CGUCGGCGGUGUGCGGACCUGAAACCACACGCAAAGGGCAGUACCUGGUACAACCGGUGAAGGGUGAAAUAGCAGAGAUAUACUGGGGACUAUUGAUACCGGAAAAGCCGGACAAACAGGGUAUUUUGUCCCAGUACUUCAAGUGGAGGCCGUGGAUCUCCCUCCUCGAGCCGUACUUUCCUCCGCCAGACCCCCCACAUGUAACCCUAUUUUAUGAUCGGCAGGGCGAUGAGGUGUAUAGAGAAGGGUUUGGGGAUGUAGUGUGUGGGGACAUGUGGCAGGUCGGGUCUAAAUUCAUAUAUGUAGGCCCUGAAGGGGUAGCGGCAGAUGUACAGUUGACAGAGGAGCAGGAUCAGUGGUACAUGAUGGCGGAGGAGUCCGUCCCGCAUGUGUCACUGGCCCUGCAUCCUAAACACCAAGCAAAAGACCUGGGGCCCAUGGUUAAAAGGGCGGUCGAAUGCACUGAUUGGACACUCACUCAGGCGCCAAACGUAUGGUACUCACACAGCUGUAAGAUGUAAAAAUGGUUCACUUGCAUUGACCUGGCUAAUGUUUUUUCUGUCUCCCACUAGCAGAGGAACUUCGUGAUAUUUUUUCUUUCACACAUAGGGGUCGGCAAUGGCGAUACACGAGACUACCACAGGGGUUCGCGCUUUCCCCUGGUAUAUUCAACCAGGUACUGAGAGGAGCGCUGCAGGGAUGCUGCCUGCCGACAGGGGUAACUUUGGUCCAGUACAUAGAUGACCUGCUGCUGGCGGCCCCGAUGGUGGCUGCCUGCAUCCAAGCUACGAUGAAGGUCCUCACCAGACUGGCUGAGAAAGGGUUCAAGGUGUCAAAAGAAAAGCUACAGCUGGUAAGGACGCAGGUCUCCUUUCUGGGCAGAGUAAUCUCGCAGAAGGGAGCGGGGCUUUCCCCAGCUCACCGCACAACCAUCCUCCACCCUCCUUAACCUACUACUGUUCAGGAAAUGCUAUCAUUCCUGGGGCUCACGGGGUACAGCCGCAAUUACAUCCCAAACUAUUCAGGGCUCACAGGGCCACUUAGAGCGCUAGUUAAGGAGCAGGGAAUGCGUAAACUUAAAGCCAAUCUCAAUUGGACUUGCCCGGCCGACCAGGCCUUCAUUUUGCUGAUACAACAACUAGCCACCACAGCUGAUCUGGCCAUACCCGACUACACAAAACACUUUUUUUUUUAGAUGUUUCUGAAACAGGUCAAGUCAUGAACGGUCCUGUUUCAGAAAAAAAAAGGGGGAGAAGGCUCUGAGAGAGAUGAGCUAGUGAGACAUCAAAAGGGGGCUUCCCCACAAGAGAAAACAAUUUGGCAACAGAGACGAGCGGGCUCUGGAGAGGGCCAGAGGGUAGAGUAAUACUUUCACCAGCCAUGCGGGGAGAUAAAUUUGCAGAAGCCCACGGGUUGGGCCAUGUAGGGCCAGCACAGAUGUUGAGGAACUUGUGCCAUUGGUGGCACCCGUUUAUGGUAGACAUGGUACGUAACUACACUAGGACAUGCACCAUCUGCACUCACCACAACCCAAAACCGACGAUCAAACCUGAGAUGGGGGCGUUCCGACGAGACCUGGACAAGAGAUAGUGAUAUACUACACGGACAUGAGGGAAACUGUACGGGGGUGCCGCUACAUGUUAGUGUGUGUGGACAUGUUCACAGGGUGGCCAGAAGCCUGGCCAGCUAGAAGGGAGGACAGUCAGACAGUGAUCAAGUGUUUAGUGAACCAGUACAUUCCCAGACACGGCUUCCCAGAGAAAAUCAGGUCAGACAAUGGGACUCACUUUAAGAACAAUGAUUUACAGAAGGUAGAGAGCAUCCACAGUCCCAGGGAAAGGUAGAAAGGAUGAACCAAAACUUAAAAAACAAGUUGGCUAAGAUAUGUGCACAGACUAAAUUGAACUGGGUGGAUGCACUGCCACUGGCACUCAUGACAAUUCGAUGCUCGUUAAAUCAGACCACUGGGUUCACCCCAUACAAGCUGCUGACGGGGAGACAGUUUCCAGGACCAGCCGCGGGGCCUGCGGUCCCGGAAGGGGAAAAGUGGCCCAAAGAUCACAGAGUGUAUUUUGAGGAAUUGCGAGCUCUCGUUUCAGAAUUCACCAAUAGAGUCGGAGAACGGAGGGACCUGCACCCGCUGGACCAGAACCUGCUCCAGGCGGAGUGGGUGUUGCUGAAGGUCAUCAAGCGAAAGUGGUCGGAGCCAAGGUGGACGGGUCCUCAUCAGGUGGUGGAGAGAACGAGUCAUGCGGUCCGCCUGAGGGACAAAGGAGAGACGUGGUACCAUUGGAGCCAGUGUACACCAGCGCAGGAGCCAGGAAGGUCGCUAACGGACCUCAUCCAAACCGGGAAGGAGGAGCUUUCCCCAGCGUGGACGGAAGGAGGACCAACACCAGCCGGACCGGUGCCAGGAGCGGACCCCAGGACACGGCGGGACUACGAGCGAGUGAAGGAGACAGAGGACGGCGCCAGGGGAAUAGACGCUUAGGGGAAAGAACUGAAGAAUACUGUAACAAAAGGGGGUAUAGGACACCGAGUGGCUCAUACCACUCGUACCAAGAUGACAGGGUUACAGAGAAAGGUCUGGGGAGAUGAUAGUAGAAUGA
Molecule: long non-coding RNA, 2609 nt
Organism: Esox lucius (northern pike)
Lineage: Eukaryota; Metazoa; Chordata; Actinopteri; Esociformes; Esocidae
Source: Ensembl